UGGGGAAUAUUGGACAAUGUGGGAAACCGUGAUCCAGCAAUGCCGCGUGAGUGAUGAAGGCCUUAGGGUUGUAAAGCUCUUUUACCAGGGAUGAUAAUGACAGUACCUGGAGAAUAAGCUCCGGCUAACUCCGUGCCAGCAGCCGCGGUAAUACGGAGGGAGCUUGCGUUGUUCGGAAUUACUGGGCGUAAAGCGCGCGUAGGCGGAUUGAUCAGUCAGGGGUGAAAUCCCGGGGCUUAACCCCGGAACUGCCUUUGAUACUGUCUGUCUAGAGGUCGAGAGAGGUGAGUGGAAUUCCGAGUGUAGAGGUGAAAUUCGUAGAUAUUCGGAGGAACACCAGUGGCGAAGGCGGCUCACUGGCUCGAUACUGACGCUGAGGUGCGAAAGCGUGGGGAGCAAACAGGAUUAGAUACCCCCGUAGUCC
RNAcentral lists this ribosomal RNA (424 nucleotides) under uncultured prokaryote. RNAcentral's name for it is "bacterial SSU rRNA". It matches the Rfam family "Bacterial small subunit ribosomal RNA", at positions 355 to 796 of the family's 1533-position model. The record is from RNAcentral.